Molecule: small RNA, 78 nt
Filed under: Flavobacterium sp. 81
Lineage: Bacteria; Pseudomonadati; Bacteroidota; Flavobacteriia; Flavobacteriales; Flavobacteriaceae
Also listed under: 1 other name
Description: Flavo-1 RNA
Rfam family: Flavo-1 RNA
Source: RNAcentral
UCUUAGCCCAGAUAGAAGUGUAAAUCCUUUUGUGCCGGGGUUCGACAUAAAAGAUUGAAACGGAUAGCUGGAAAUAGC